UACGUAGGGGGCUAGCGUUGCUCGGAAUUACUGGGCGUAAAGGGUGCGUAGGCGGGUCUUUAAGUCGGGGGUGAAAUCCUGGAGCUCAACUCCAGAACUGCCUUUGAUACUGAAGAUCUUGAGUUCGGGAGAGGUGAGUGGAACUGCGAGUGUAGAGGUGAAAUUCGUAGAUAUUCGCAAGAACACCAGUGGCGAAGGCGGCUCACUGGCCCGAUACUGACGCUGAGGCACGAAAGCGUGGGGAGCAAACAGG
RNAcentral lists this ribosomal RNA (253 nucleotides) under uncultured bacterium. RNAcentral's name for it is "partial 16S ribosomal RNA". It matches the Rfam family "Bacterial small subunit ribosomal RNA", at positions 524 to 776 of the family's 1533-position model. The record is from RNAcentral.